RNAcentral lists this ribosomal RNA (424 nucleotides) under Verrucomicrobiota bacterium. Its description in RNAcentral is "Verrucomicrobia bacterium partial 16S ribosomal RNA". It matches the Rfam family "Bacterial small subunit ribosomal RNA", at positions 355 to 776 of the family's 1533-position model. Lineage: Bacteria; Pseudomonadati; Verrucomicrobiota. The record is from RNAcentral.
UGAGGAAUAUUGGUCAAUGGACGCAAGUCUGAACCAGCCAAGUAGCUUGCAGGAUGACGGCCCUAUGGGUUUUAAACUGCUUUUAUAUGGGGAUAAAGUGGGGAACUUGUUCCCUUUUGCAGGUACUAUAUGAAUAAGGACUGGCUAUUUCCGUGCCAGCUGCCGCGGUAAUACGGAAGGUUCGGGCGUUAUCCGGAUUUAUUGGGUUUAAAGGGAGCGUAGGCCGUUUGGUAAGCGUGUUGUGAAAUGUAGGAGCUCAACUUCUAGAUUGCAGCGCGAACUGUCAGACUUGAGUGCGCACAACGUAGGCGGAAUUCAUGGUGUAGCGGUGAAAUGCUUAGAUAUCAUGAAGAACUCCGAUUGCGAAGGCAGCUUACGGGAGCGCAACUGACGCUGAAGCUCGAAGGUGCGGGUAUCGAACAGG